This is a long non-coding RNA of Anguilla anguilla (European eel), 696 nucleotides long. RefSeq lists it as uncharacterized. The transcript is spliced from 4 exons. Lineage: Eukaryota; Metazoa; Chordata; Actinopteri; Anguilliformes; Anguillidae. The record is from RefSeq and is a predicted model, not a curated record.
UUAAAAGAGACGCAAUUGGUUACAGGUGUGCAUGGGGUUGGUCGUUAACCCAGGUAGGCUAUAAAUGUAGUUUCGACACAGCGCUCUGAGACUGACUAGCCUACAAGGUGACCUGCGCAGGAGCACGGAAACGCACGUCAGAUAGAAAAUGUCGGACUCAGAGACUGCCGCGCCCGUCCAGGCUGACGCUCCUGUUCCCGCGCCAUGCCAGGUCAUCAAGGAGGAGCUGGACAAGUGCAUCCAGGGGAAGGGGGAGGGCGGCUGCAAGGACCUGCUGGAGGCGUUCCAGGCCUGUCUGAAGACCGCGGCGGAGGCGUCCUGAGAGGAGCACAGCGUUCACAAUGUCCACUGCACUGAGUCUUCCACAGUCCCAGCAUUCCCUUCUACGCACUGCACUGGUCUGAACAUUGCUGACAUCGCUAGGGGAGGCGGUGGGUACCGGCCCCCAUUCUCCCCAAAACCGUUAAAUGGAGUCUUCCAAUCUCUAUAUGGAUGAUUAGAAUAUACCAUGCUGGUGAACCUGUUGGUUUUUAAUGUGGUGUUCUCCACUUUGGGAGAGUCAAACAUUGAAAAUAAAACGUUAUCAAUAUAAAGUACUUUGCAUUAUUUCAUUGUUAAACUCAAAAUUCAGUCUGAAAGAAAAAUUGUUCCUUGAAUGUGAACUGUGAAAUAAAGUUUGACUACCUCUGGGUUUAA